Molecule: non-coding RNA, 29 nt
Filed under: Homo sapiens (human)
Lineage: Eukaryota; Metazoa; Chordata; Mammalia; Primates; Hominidae
Source: RNAcentral
UGCCUAUGGUGGGUAAAGAGGGUUCUAGU